ACACUCCUCACCUUGUAUUCUCAAGGAAACCUUUAUCCAUGGCUGGAGGUAUCAUACUACUCCUGCUUGUCAUCCCCCUCGUCGUGAGAAUUGAAGGGAGUGUCAUGGGGGAGAGAUCCAACUCGUUCUCACAGGACUCCAAUAAUUCUAGCCCUGCUGAAAACAAACUCGAACCAGGUCCUCUUUUCAUAUUGGUUAUAUUGGUUAUUUAUUAGGGAUCAGUGAGCUUCGAAUUGAGUAAAUCUGUAAUUACUUCUACACUACUAAUUAUCAUUAUGUGACUGCUCGUAAAGGUGAAAAGUCCUUCGCAUCGGAGGCAUACUGUGAGAGGUGUCCAGACCUAGAAUAGGUGUGAAGUGUGUGUGCGUGCUGGGCGCGAUGGGUGGAGUGAGCCACUGUAACCAGGAUACAUAUACACUGUCUUGUGGAGGGGGAAAAGGGGAUGCAUAAUGAGAAUUAUCAACAGAACUUCUCUCAUUCCUUUUCUCUGUUCCUGCUUCCUCUUCUCCGAUCUCUCAUCUUGUCCUCUACUUCCCUAUUCUGAUUAGGUCUGCUGCUCUGGUUGGUGAUCCUAAAGGGGUUGCUAACAAUUGGUAUCAGAGGGAAAUCGUUCCUCGACCGGAAGCAUCCAUGGCGUCUCCUUCACUGGUCGAUACUCAGCUCAUCGAAGCGUUGGAGCACCAAACCCGGGUUAUCCUCGCCGAACUCGACAAGCGGUUCACGGCGCUCGACUCCAAGUGGGAAGCGCGAGUCCAGACGCACCAAGUAGCGGUGGGCGCCGUCGUGGAGUGGCGGCCCCAGGUGGAUGCCUCCAUCGAACAUCUUCAACAACACCAAGCAGAUCAGCCGCACCUCCGCUCCGUCGGGAACAUGCCCCACGAGGGCGGCCUCCUCUCUUCCGCCAUCACCAAGCAGAUCGAACCCGUCUGCCUUAAGGAGCUUGCAUUGCUGGGGGACGCCGACUCGCGGGUCCAGGCCACCGAAACCGACGUCGUGUUCCCUUCCAGCAAAAUGCUCAGCCUCGUCGGCGCGGUCGACAAGGAGGAACGCCACUCAACCCAGGAAGUCCCGAGACGCGCACCUCGUCGCAACGCGCUACGAGGGGGGACCAAACCCACCCCUUCGCCGUCUUCGACGACCACAGCGCCGCUGGAGCAUCCUGCACUGGGUUCGCGCGAGACGUGGUCCCGCGCCUCCUCCACGCUUUGCUCGUCCGCGUCAUGUUCGUCGAGCAGGUGGAGGGCAUGCGCGACCCGGAGGACGAGGGCUUGGCGCCCAACGAGAGGAACCUGCAACGCGUCUGGGCGCGCGACACACUCUACUCAGGCACCGCCUUCACCCGCAGCCUCGGGAACCUCACCGCCUCCGCGGCGCUGCCCACGCCGCUCUACAGGUAUGUGGCGCCCUGCUACGACUGUUGGGGUAGGGUCAACCCCGACGUCCACGCUGCUCCACACGCAAGCAUCAACUGCUCCAUGGGUAGAGGAACAAGUCAGUGGUAGCUCGCCCCUCGGGUGUUCGACCAAAUGUCUUUGCCAGGCUAUGCAAAACAUUGUCAAGCCAAAUCCGCCAAGGAUGAACGAGAUCACGGGUGCUGCUCGUUUGAAACCUCAAGGCUCAUUUCACUAUGGAUCUAUCAAUGGGAGCCAGAUUUACAAGAUGAGGAAUGAACCACCUGUUAUCAUCAAUGGAAAGAAACGGGUUAUAGUGAGUGCCUUGGUGUGGAGAAUUAAAUCACUCGAUAUAAUGACCAGUUACAUUCUUCCAAAGCCCCCUUGGUUGGCAUUUGAUCCAGGCAAAUUGUUUAGAGUUGAUUACAGCUCCAGUUCCACAAGUGCUUCCUUACCGUAUGCAUUGCAAUUUUCACUUGAUGUCCAGACGAUGGAAACAGUUGAUAUAGUCGUUCCUAAUCAGAGAUAUACUACUGGAGAACAAGUGUCUGUGGCAGUUUCUGUUGCAGCUACUCAAGGGCUGGCAUCAGUGAAUACUAUGAAAUUCCAGGGCAUAAUCCAGGGUGUCAAGGUAGCUAUUUUGGUGGAUUCCGGCAGCUCCCAUUCCUUUGUGAGUGCAGAUCUGGCCUCACAACUAUCCAGCGUGGUGGGCAUGGUGACACUAGUGUCAGUGCAGGUAGCGGAUGGCGGUCUCCUGCAGUGUUAUUGCCAGUUGUUAGGUGCUAAAUGGAUGGUGCAGCAGUGUGAGUUCUCUACCAAUUUCAGAGUACUUGACAUUUCAGCAUACAAUGUCAUUGUGGACAUGGAUUGGUUGUCCAGCUACAGUUCGAUGAAGGUCCAUUGGGCCCAGUGGUGGGUGAUAAUUCCUUAUCAAGGCUCUUUUGUAUUGCUUCAUGGUUGUUCAGCUGUUUUGCCACCAAGGUUUUGGAUUAUAGAUGAUGGUUGGCAAGAGACACUUGACUAUUAUCCAGAGACGUUGCAUCAGAUGCUUGUUGCGAAUGCUGAUGGGAGUUUCAAGCUACCAGGGAAUUCUGUGAAAGACUUUCUUGACUCUAAAACUGCCUUGAAGAUACAUGUUUUGAUAACAAAUUUUCAGAACAAGCUUCUUGAAGUAAUCAAUGCAACUGAACUUCCUGAAUUUUUGGGGGGGCCAUGCACUUAUACUAUGGGAGGAUGCCUGAUGUCUAACAAAGGUCCAUGGAACGAUCCAGAUACUAUGAAGCUUUCACAUAACAAGGAAGCAAAGUUUACAAGACAUAAUAGAGGUCUGCUGCUCUGGUUGGUGAUCCUAAAGGGGUUGCUAACACAUACGCGGUGAACUGGAACGAACCACCAGACCUGCAAAUGCAAGACUCCUUCGAGCGACCUGAGCUAUAUCGGAAGCAAUCAGUGCAAGGUGAAAAGUCCUUCGCAUCGGAGGCAUAUCCGGUGAAAUGGAGCAUAUCACCAUCACUAGGUCAGCAAUCGCAAGAGUCUUUCGAGCCAGAAGCAUAUCCGAUGAAAUGGAAAGAACCACCACCAUCAAGCCAACAAUCGCAAGACUCCUUCGAGCCAGAGGCAUAUCGGGUGAAAUGGAACAAAUCACCACCACCACACCAACAAUCGCAAGACUCCUUGGAGCCGGAGGCAUAUCGGGUGAAAUGGAACAAAUCACCACCACCACUCCAGCAAUCCCAAGACUCCUUCGAGCCAGAGGCAUAUCGGGUGAAAUGGAACAAAUCACCACCACCUCACCAACAAUUGCAAGACUCCUUGGAGCCGGAGGCAUAUCGGGUGAAAUGGAACAAAUCACCACCACCACUCCAGCAAUCCCAAGGCUCCUUCGAGUCAGAGGCAUAUCGGGUGAAAUGGAACAAAUCACCACCACCACACCAACAAUCGCAAGACUCCUUCGAGCCAGAGGCAUAUCGGGUGAAAUGGAACAAAUCACCACCACCACUCCAGCAAUCCCAAGACUCCUUCGAGCCAGAGGCAUAUCGGGUGAAAUGGAACAAAUCACCACCACCACACCAACAAUCGCAAGACUCCUUCGAGCCGGAGGCAUAUCGGGUGAAAUGGAACAAAUCACCACCACCACUCCAGCAAUCGCAAGACUCCUUCGAGCCGGAGGCAUAUCGGGUGAAAUGGAACAAAUCACCACCACCACUCCAACAAUCGCAAGACUCCUUCGAGCCGGAAGCAUAUCGGGUGAAAUGGAACAAAUCACCACCACCACUCCAACAAUCCCAAGACUCCUUCGAGCCGGAGGCAUAUCGGGUGAAAUGGAACAAAUCACCACCACCACUCCAGCAAUCGCAAGACUCCUUCGAGCCGGAGGCAUAUCGGGUGAAAUGGAACAAAUCACCACCACCACUCCAACAAUCGCAAGACUCUUUCGAGCCGGAGGCAUAUUGGGUGGGAUGGAAGCAACAUGCGCAAGGAGAAACAGACGUUGCUGAUGGGACGACGCCAGCACGCGGCCAUGGCCUGCAUGUCGCGACCGGGAUGCUUUUCACGAGGAAGAGCUUGCUUCCAGGGACAGCCCUACCGGAAGGCACCAGGUUCAGCGGCCACGGCUUCCCCGAUCCGCAGAGGUUCGCGCUACGGGCAGACGCGGACGCCAUCCCCUUCAGCUACAGCCAGCUCGACGCGAUCCUAAGGAUGUUCCGGAUCCCUCGAGGGUCCAAGAAGGCGGAGCAAGUCGCUGACACACUCCGGGCAUGCGAGGCCGAGUCCUCGGACGCUCAUGCCUGCGCCACCUCCGAGCAGGCGGCGGCGGACUUUGCUGCCUCCUCGCUCGGGGUCAGGGCCAGCGACCUGGUAUCGGUCGUCACCGCCGUCCACGGGGGGAAGGACGCCACUAGGUACGUGGUGGCGCCCGACGGCGUCACACGCAUCGGCAAGGCGGCGGGGGCCGCGACCGCGGUGCCGUGCCACCCGAUGCCGUACCCGUACAUGGUCCAUUACUGCCACCGGCCGACGGACGUGGAGGCGCUCCGCGUUGAGCUGACUGGGCUCGGAGACGACGGCGCGACCAUCGCGAUCGCCAUGUGCCACGCCAACACCAUGAGCUGGGACGACCGCUACUUCCAGAUGUUGAACGCGACGCGCGGCGAGGAGAUCUGCCACUUCAUGCCGUGGAACUAUGUGCUAUGGCUGCCGGCUGCCGACCUUCUAGCGAAUAACUAGGAUCACCUUCUAGGCGGGUGAUACACCGUCCAUUCUAAAAUGUAAAAAAUAAAAAUAAAAACUAUAUACAUAGUUUUUUAUUAUGCACUUAGAUAUGCGUUAUAAUUAGAUAUAUAAUAAAAAAAUAAACGACUUAUAAUUUAUAA
RNA transcript from Zea mays, 4765 nucleotides. It is a transcript of the gene named ataxin, with no coding region annotated. NCBI's taxonomy places the organism in Eukaryota, Viridiplantae, Streptophyta, Magnoliopsida, Poales, Poaceae. The record is from RefSeq and is marked validated. The transcript has 4 exons.